UACGUUUUACCUCACUUAGAUUAUUGUUGUUCAAUAUGGGGGAAACUGUAAUAACUUUCUAUUAGAUAGUUUACUAAAACUGCAAAAAAGGGCAGCAAGAAUAAUUUUAGACGAACAUGAUUACACCAAACCUUCAAGAGAAUUAUUUCACGAAUGUAACAUUGUGCCAAUCACACAAAGAAUACUUUAUCACAAAUCAUUACUAAUGUAUAAGGCAAAACAUGG
This 225-nucleotide long non-coding RNA is filed under the name Mytilus galloprovincialis (Mediterranean mussel). Lineage: Eukaryota; Metazoa; Mollusca; Bivalvia; Mytilida; Mytilidae. The record is from RNAcentral.